RNAcentral lists this long non-coding RNA (1420 nucleotides) under Felis catus (domestic cat). RNAcentral's name for it is "lncRNA (ENSFCAG00000041265.2)". The record is from RNAcentral. Lineage: Eukaryota; Metazoa; Chordata; Mammalia; Carnivora; Felidae.
GUUUCUCAAACCUGUAGAGAGCUUCUAGGAGUCUCAUGUCCUCUCCCUAUCCCCUCUUAAGAUUUGUUUGAAGGGUAAUGGACAAAGAGAAGUGGGGACCCUGCUUGGGCUGACUCAUGCCUGUUCUCUCCUCUCUUCCUGCUUCCUCCUGCUUCCCUUCUGGGUGGAAAGAGCUCCUCUUAAUGUCAGAUCACCCUCUUUUCGUACUUGAUGGAAGGUUUCUGCUGAUUAAUUUACGUGUUGCUGUUCUAUGACUUUCUUUGGUCUAGGUGGAAUGAACUUCACCCUUGCUUGGGAAUCAACAUGGGAAAUACAAUAGGGUGCAUUUGAGAAACAGUAUCCCCGAUGUCUACGAAAGGCCAGGCAGGUGCCAAUCACUUUGAUUCGAUUCUCCUAACAACCCUGUCCACAAACUCAGUUUACAGCUGACACAACGCAGGCAGAGAGACGGAAUGAUUUGUCUGAGGUCAUACGGAAUGAUUAGUGCUGCAGAACCGUGAUUUAGACCCAGACCUCCCAGACUGCAAAAUGUAAGGACUUCCCACUAGCAGUAAUCCUCACAGGUCUAAAAUAUCUACUACAUCUGUCACAUAUGUACCACACAAGUGUGCUUUUGAUGAGACUACCAUAUAUUCCUGUAUUUCAUAGAGCAUAACUCAGAGGGAAAGAAGAACCUUGCAAUAUUUCAAGAUUAUUGUAAUAUGUUCAUAUUUAAUGAAGUAUGCAUAAUAUUUAUGUAGUAUUUUAACUCGAAGAGUUUUGUACCUCAGUCUUAUCAUCGUCCGGCUUAUUUACUCUCCCCCACCUCUGUGUGGCCCCAUUGAUGUGGUGAGUCUCUGCUGGCCAUUGGUUGGGUCUGUUGUUAGUAGUCCCAGGUAUGGGUUGGCAGAGCGGGAGCCUCACAUCCUGUUCCCCCAUGACCUGUGUCGUGUUCUACUCCCAUGGUAAGCUCCCGUGUCUCCAUGACAGGCUGGCCGAGAGAAGCUACUUGCAGACGGCCACGGCCAGCACUCAGAAGUGGAGAACAUUGUUUUGGAGUCAAAGAGACGGGCCCCAGAGGCAGGCAGGAAGAGUAUCAGACUUAGCAACAUUGCCAGCUUCCACAAACCAGCUGAUGACCCAUGUGAGCCCAGAAUGGAAAAGACUGUCACAUGUUGGGUGCCUGGCCUGGACCUCACAUCAGGUGGUAUCGAUCCCAGAUUCGUCUCCCGAGGCCCUUCCAAUGCGCUUACCUACCUGGAGCCUCUCGCUGGGACAGGCACAAAGAACAGGACCUAAGAAUUCCAUUUCUAAGAGUGAGUAUAGUAAGCAGGGGUAGAAAAAUAUAUGCACAUCACCUUGAGUGGAACCCGGUAGGGCUUGGUGUGAGGCCCAUCUUACAAGGUUCUAGUGAAAUAAAAAAACAUGACAACAUAGGACA